GUGAAAGUUUCCUAUUACACGGCGCAGGGGAAGGAGCACGUGAGCAGCGUCAUGCUGUACGUGACAAGUGUGGCGGUGUCCCUGGACGUGGAUGUGAAUCGGAUCGGCUUUGUGAGCCGAGGAAUGAAAAACAAGG
Long non-coding RNA from Nanorana parkeri, 136 nucleotides. RefSeq lists it as uncharacterized. The record is from RefSeq and is a predicted model, not a curated record. The transcript has 2 exons. Lineage: Eukaryota; Metazoa; Chordata; Amphibia; Anura; Dicroglossidae.